UCUAUCGUGGUGUAGUUGGUUCUUACACUAGUCUGAUACACAAGUGGGUUGUGGUUCGACUCCACAUGAAAACA
Molecule: non-coding RNA, 74 nt
Organism: Tuber magnatum (white Piedmont truffle)
Lineage: Eukaryota; Fungi; Ascomycota; Pezizomycetes; Pezizales; Tuberaceae
Source: the annotation of a GenBank genome assembly